AAAACGACUCUCGGCAACGGAUAUCUCGGCUCUCGCAUCGAUGAAGAACGUAGCGAACUGCGAUACUUGGUGUGAAUUGCAGAAUCCCGUGAACCAUCGAGUCUUUGAACGCAAGUUGCGCCCGAAGCCAUUAGGCCAAGGGCACGUCUGCCUGGGCGUCACAC
Molecule: ribosomal RNA, 164 nt
Filed under: Tripterospermum pallidum
Lineage: Eukaryota; Viridiplantae; Streptophyta; Magnoliopsida; Gentianales; Gentianaceae
Description: 5.8S ribosomal RNA
Rfam family: 5.8S ribosomal RNA
About the family: 5.8S ribosomal RNA (5.8S rRNA) is a component of the large subunit of the eukaryotic ribosome.
Source: RNAcentral